CAACUCUGGUGUCACCUCAUUUGAGGAUAAAUCUUUCGCCUUUUACUAAAGAUUUCCAUGGGGAGGCACAAUGCAAUGAAUCUUACCUCAUUUUUCUUCAGCUCUAUCUUUGGACAA
This 117-nucleotide small nuclear RNA is filed under the name Trichobilharzia regenti. RNAcentral's name for it is "U5 spliceosomal RNA". It matches the Rfam family "U5 spliceosomal RNA". From Rfam's summary of the family: U5 RNA is a component of both types of known spliceosome. Lineage: Eukaryota; Metazoa; Platyhelminthes; Trematoda; Strigeidida; Schistosomatidae. The record is from Rfam by way of RNAcentral.